RNAcentral lists this long non-coding RNA (3268 nucleotides) under Varroa destructor (honeybee mite). RNAcentral describes it as "uncharacterized LOC111244551, transcript variant X1". Lineage: Eukaryota; Metazoa; Arthropoda; Arachnida; Mesostigmata; Varroidae. The record is from RNAcentral.
AACAAAACCGUUGGCCUUGUUUGUAAUGAACAAAAGUGUGUGUUUGUGAGCUUUUGGCAAACUAUGACUGUGGUAGCAUCAUCGGCUAAAUCCUAAGCUGCCGGUUUUUCUCCAUAACCAGAUGUUAGCUCCAUUAUAGGGCCACGAUUUCGGUAUUUUCCUGUCUCGCGCCAUGCAUGAACAAGGUCGUCUCGGUAGAAGCUAACGUAAACACCGAUUCUCCUAACAGACAUGGUACAGGCAAAAACUUAAUGAGGGAAACAACCGUUUAGCGAACCUUGUUGGAGUUCGAAUGUGCCUCGUACUUCAAAACUUCAACAACUCGAUGGCAAACAACAAGUUGUAUAUUAAUAGCUGCAACUGUAGUCAAAGAACCGAUGUAAUCCUGACAUCGAGAAGCCACAUGAAGCGCGUUCGGCUGCGGUUGAGCGCUUCUGCGAAGCCACCGCAUGAAGCCCACUAACAACAGGUAGUAAAAAACGUUAGACUGACAAUUUCUACGCUUCAGCCAGCCAAAGCAAUCCGAGCCAGGCGAAUGAGGGCAUGUUGUGAAGACUUUUCCGACAGGGCAAUGCGCAUAUAUAAUUUGUGAGCGAGCAAAAUGGCAACGAAGCUUACGCUGUUCCUAGCUUGUCUGGUCCUUGAUUUCAAGCUGCACGUACGUGUAAAGGCAAUACAAUGCAGAUAAAAACCGGAUAUGAACGAAUGAUGGUUUCAUUCCCACAAUAGGUUCGGGCAGUAUCCGACGAAGUAACACGCGAUGGCUAACGUACACCAAAGCUGAAGGUCCUUUAUGAGCACUGGCGUGCUUGGUAUACUAUGCGCCAGCUCCCUGUAAUUGGUAUCAUUCAGUAGUUGGCCUCAAUCUGCGAAGCGGCUUUCCCAAUCAAACGUGAUGUCAUCAGCAUAUGGGCACUGGCAACACUUUUCUACGAAAGUACCUCCUAUACUCGCCGCAGCUCCUGUUCUGAACGCGUCCGUUCGGCCUUACCGCAUUGAAGCUCACGCAGACAUUAAAGCCUCACACAAGUUGCUUUUCGUUAGCAGCUACACACAUGUGGAUAUGACGACCUUCAUACGUAUCUCUUAGAGGAAGCUAGACUCUUCCAAUGCUACUCGAGAUAGAAUUCUGUGCGCAAUGACGAUUUGCUGCGGUUUCCUAGCAAUGAGAAAGGAAAUUUGUGGAUCCGUCGCAACAAAAAAGAAUCAACGCGCUGAACGGGAAACGUCUAUAACCCUCGUCCCGGAAUAGGGUUCUCUCUGAGAAAGUCACUCACUUCCAUCCCAAUGGCCAGGUAUCUGUUGCAAACGUAGUGCUAUGGCAAAUGGGGCAUAAUUGCACCGUGGGCAGGUGACUAACCAGCCCAUAGGGUGUUUAAUCAACUACGAAAAACAAGCAAAAGCGAACCAAUAAAGGAUUCACUGUAAUAGGCGCAAACAUUUAUGACGUAAUACUGCCUAACGCGUGGCUAUCCGCUCUCUAUUCAGAAUAGUCUGAGAGCGGCAAUCAAGGACUUUAACGGAUUCUCAGUCUGCUAGAGCUUCCAAAUAAACAGGAGAUACCUCUAAAUCGUGACGGGCUAAGGCGGAAAAGGUGCUCUUUAAAGCGAAAUGCUUUAGCCUGCAAGAAAAGGGAAUGACUUAGCGUUAGGUUAAGAUAAACUACCGUAGCUAGUAAGGAAACUUACACGCGUGCGAACGCAUACACGGGCUCUAUAGUUAAAGUGGGCUAUAAAUUGUGUGCAACAAUAGAAGGGCACCCAUAGAGGAAAAGAACGUAUAGGUGUUGGGAUUUCCGUCUCCCUAACCAGAAAUGGGCUUAAACAAGGGCAUGCAAGUGAAGUGCAUGCAAAAAGAACAACAAUCCAAAUCAUUGGCACAAACACGGCGAUAACUAUCGUCGCUAGAGGGCACCUUUGUGUACUUGCCGAAGUUUCGAGAAACGGUGAGCGAGCGCGCGCGGGCUAAAGGGACGGUGGCGGACACAGAUUACCGCCGCAUGUGGCGCUAGCGCUCAGCAUCUAUAUGUCGACGAGGGUCUAGAGUGACUGCAGAAUCGUACUGAAAGGCUAGCAGCGUUAGUCCUAGUUGUCUGACGGCUGCUCUAACUCCCAAAAGCGAGUCAUGAAUGCUAAGUGCGCCUACGUACAGCUUGUGCAUUGGAUUCGGUUUCUCUGAAAUCCAACACUAUAAGCAUAGCUGCGGCAUUGCUGACGGUGGCCGCCACCACCACCGAGAUAGUGAGAGAUUCUCAAAGUAAGCUUAUACAAGUAACGUUAGGGCAUUGAUGGAGUUGCGGGGCGGUGGGGUGGAGGCACUUAGAGACACGCCGAAUCGCUCUUGACCUGGUAACGCUACGUUUACUGUUGUCGUACAAUUCAGCUAUUAUGAUAGGUUUGGUGCCAGAUGGUGGCUCUACCACGGGCUUUAUACAACACCGCAAUCGAUGCACAGUUAGGAUAGUAUUGGAUUAGAUUGCGUAGGAAACUUGCGCGAUGGGACAAGAGACCACUUAAUGCGGAAAUGCCUUUAUCAAGCCCACGGGAGUAGUCUUCGAUGUUGACGGCGCUUCGGAUACCGCAUGGCAGUAGCUUCGCAAGGCUAGAUAGUUAUACUGAUGAAGAGGAAGAUGAAAAGCUCAAUGAAGGUCCGAAAGAGGAAUUUAAAUGCUGCAAGUUUUAGCUAACUAGAGGUACGAGAAAUACAUUUCUCUAUAAACACGACACCAUCCAAGGAUACAAAGUUUGUCACAAUCUAUUGGUGCGGUGACUGUCUUUUCGACCCGGAACGUGGAUGACGGACAAAUUGUCGAACCGUAGAGUGGAUUUAAUGGCAGUAUUAAUACGUUAGUAAUAAUGCUACAUUGUCUUGCCGGUUUGCGUAGAAACAAGAUUCAAAUGUGUGCGGGUUAAUUCAAUGAUUCACAAGAAAACAGAUUAGCAUUUCUCAGCCACUGGUGGUUCACCUAUCAGUAUAAGUUCUUUCGCAUCUGCUCGAUAAUGUCCCGACAACCUGCCUUCGUAUGCUCAAAGAGUGGCUCGCACAAAACCGUUUACUUUCUGAACAAACUUCGUGCAGUCGUAUGCGAUAACAGGUAAUAUAUUAAAAUGGAGUUGCCAGUUUUUCCCUAACUCGCAUUUACAAACAAGUUUCUCUGUUUGCUGCGUUUGCUUCAAUCGUCUGCUCACAAAAAGCCCGGUUACGUUAGUCCUAAGCUUUUCAGGUUGCACUGGGAAUCUACUUAGAAAUAAACACCUGUGUUACACAC